Long non-coding RNA from Melopsittacus undulatus (budgerigar), 2602 nucleotides. RefSeq lists it as uncharacterized. The transcript has 2 exons. Lineage: Eukaryota; Metazoa; Chordata; Aves; Psittaciformes; Psittaculidae. The record is from RefSeq and is a predicted model, not a curated record.
CCACCCUCACGCGUGAACGUCACCGAUAAGCGUUUCUCUCGCCCAAUUAGAGGGGCCGCCGGCUCGCGCGGGGUGGGAGCGAAGGUGCCGGGGAGUGUGGUGCCGGCCGGCUGGGCGGAGACGGGGGGCAGCCGGGAGGCGGAGGCAGCCGGCGAGAACCGGUGGGAGGUCGGCCCAGUAGGGCAGAAGUAGAGUGGGAAACAAUGUGGACUUCAGCCUUGAGCUGUCUCUCGCCCAGAAGAAGCCCCUUCUCCUCAGGCACAGGGUUUACUGACAGGCGGACGUCUCCAGGGUGAAAUGCGGCAGUGGGAAACACCUGUGGUGUCACUUCCGUGCGUAACUGGUGGAGACACGGGAGUCAGUCCCCACAGCCAGAUACUGCCGGCCUGGAAGACACCUCAAUGUGGGUCAGCGCUAGCUUUAUGAAAUAACGGCCUAUUUUUAGCUUCAGUUAGGCUGAUACUGUUCUAGUUACAUUUAACCAGUUACGCCUUUUUUCUGCGUGAUAUUUUACUGUCACUCUGCACAUUACAAGAGUCUGCAGAAGUUGUUUUUCAUCUAGAAAAUACAUAGCUCAAUUCUGAAUCUUGGCAGUUUGUGUUGGCUUGUACAAAGCACGGCCAGUUUGUGGCUUUGCCUAAAUUGUCUGAUUUUCUUUAACCUGAAGAGACCAUGGCUUGUACAGAGGAGGUUUUCAUGGUAGUCUACACCACAGAUGUGUUACUCAGUGUCUGUAUUACCUUUCACUCCACCUGGCUUCAAGUGAGCGUAAGCUAAUUUCUGACUGGGAGCCAUGUCUGCUAGGAUAAAACAUUCAGCUUUUCUGGGUUAUAAACUACAUCUGGGCUGCAUUUGUUUACAGUUGAGUGUUUUUAUUUUCUGACUUGACUCUGGGCUUCUGUCUGAUGUACUUGGAGCUGUUUCUACUUCUCCAUGUAAAACUUAUUGAAAAUAUGCACAGAAUCCUACCAAAUAAUAAGAUGAUCCCAAGGUUAAUGACUGCUUGGAAUAAUGUGGGGUUUUUUGUUGGUGGUUACAGUGAUAGGAAGCAUUUUAGGGAAGAAGAAAAAGUCAACACAGCUCCCCUCGUUAGUCAAGUUUGAAGUUUGUUCUGGAUAAAGUUCUGAGACAGAUCAAACAGUUCUUUACCUACUUUCGUCCACACUGUUGGGUUUUGGUGCUUUUUUUUUUCCUGCAACAAUGCAGGCUUUUGUUUACUUUUCAUUGCACAUUAAACUGAUCAGGAUUUUAGGAUCAAAUUACUUUCUGCGACAACAUCCUUUCAGUGCUGUGGCACAAUAGGUUGGAAAUAAGAGUCACUGGCAGUUUCUUUGAGACAGUAUACUCUAAGAAGAAAGGAUUUAGAUCAGAAAGCUUUUAGUCUAAAACCAUCAUUUAGUCUAAACCCAUGUGAUUUUUUUUUACUUUUUUUGUUUUUAAUACAAAAGAAUGCCUGUGUCAUUUUAACUAUUUAAGAUUAAUUUAUAUUGUGAUAGUCCCUAUCUGGACCCCCUAGUUGUGAUUAAUUAUAUCAUACUAGUUGGUACUUAAGAUGCAGUUCCUGUGCUUUACACUGUGAGGUGACAAGAAUUACAUGGAGUGUUACAAGUAGACUACAAUAAAGUAGUCCACUAUUUCAUGUAUCAUAGGACAGAGAGAUAUUUAUAGGAGAGACAGACAAGUGGGUAGUUACAAGGUGCCAGCUAGUGAACUGGUGAAACAAUUUGAGUUGAGGAGGCAGAAAAUAACAGGAAGAGAAAAGGCUCCUGAAGAACUUGAAAGAUUUAAAAAAAUGCUUGUAAAGAGAAGUGGGGUGAAUUAAUAAGUAAUUGACAUUAUUAGUCUGAGGAGCAAAGAUGUGAUCAUCACCAGUAUUACAGUAUUAGGAAAAAUAAUACCACUUUUAUGAUAAGAGGUUAUAAUAGGGUAGAAUUUGAAUAUAUUUUUUAAGCAGUUUGAGUCAAAAAUAAAAUCUGGGCAUUGCCUGAAUGUCUAGCCCUUACCUAGUCUACUAUAACCAGUACUUUUAGAAAGUUUUAAUAGGAAGUUGUGUGUUAAACCAGUGAAUUUAAAGAAUACCAGUUUCAAAAAUCAUAAUGGUAAGAUAUACAUUAUGAUUACUUUGUUUUAGAAAACCUGGUGUUUUGUAAUCUCUAGUAAUUUGAUGUUGCCUUAUUCUCUGACGUACAAUAGUGGAAAAGAUUCCCUAUUCACUUUCUUUAUGUAGAAGUCUAUAUACUUUAUAUGCUCUCUCAGCCAUUUUUGUCAAGAAUGGGAAUCCUAAUGUAGUUAGGAAGCAAUUUUUUUAAAUUUCUGAUCAUCUUUGUCAACUUUUAUGUACUUCCAAAACAUAUAUUAUUGUUUAACUCGAGGCAGAAGUAGAAGUAGUUUUCAGCAUGCAGUCACACAGUGUGCAUGCAUCACUUUGAAGUGGUUUGUAUUGAUUUCUUGCUAGUACAUAUGUUCUGGUUUGAGAAUGCCAUUCCUAUGGGAUUUAUGAAAGCUAAGCUUUAAAAUAUUGCUCUUAUGUUUGAAGUGUGUUAUCUAUAUGUAUAAACUAAUGUAAAUAUUACACAAAGACUAAAUAAAAAUUCAGAUUUUU